Molecule: ribosomal RNA, 484 nt
Filed under: uncultured bacterium
Lineage: Bacteria
Description: bacterial SSU rRNA
Rfam family: Bacterial small subunit ribosomal RNA
Source: RNAcentral
GAUGAACGCUGGCGGCGUGCCUAAUACAUGCAAGUCGAACGCAUUGUGGUUGAAAUGAUAUGAAGAACUUGUUCAGAUUUGAUUUUCAACAUUGCAAUGAGUGGCGAACGGGUGAGUAACACGUGGGAAACCUACCUCUUAGCAGGGGAUAACAUUUGGAAACAAAUGCUAAUACCGUAUAAUAAUUAAAACCGCAUGGUUUUAGUUUAAAAGAUGGUCUUGCUAUCACUAAGAGAUGGUCCCGCGGUGUAUUAGUUAGUUGGUGAGGUAAUGGCUCACCAAGACAAUGAUACAUAGCCGAGUUGAGAGACUGACCGGCCACAAUGGGACUGAGACACGGCCCAUACUCCUACGGGAGGCAGCACGUAGGGAAGUCUUCCACAAUGGACGAAAGUACUGAUGGAGCAACGCCGCGUGUGUGAUGAAGGGUUUCGGCUCGUAAAACACUGUUGUAAGAGAAGAAUGACAUUGAGAGUAACUGUUC